CACUGUUCCUGUAAAGCUGGGGGACAGAUCUUCCAGACCCCUGCUGCCCCCUCUCUGUUGUACUGUCCCAGAGCCAGCUCCAUGUAGAAGAGAGGCAUGCCUGCUAUCACCAUGAAGAACAGGGUUGGGAAAAAACAAUCUCAAACAAGAACCAGCGAGCACAAGGAGCUGAAACACACCCACGAUAUCACAUACACAUCUGCAUUCAUGUGCAAAUACAUA
Micropterus dolomieu (smallmouth bass) is the source of this 222-nucleotide long non-coding RNA. RefSeq lists it as uncharacterized. The transcript is spliced from 3 exons. Lineage: Eukaryota; Metazoa; Chordata; Actinopteri; Centrarchiformes; Centrarchidae. The record is from RefSeq and is a predicted model, not a curated record.